Molecule: small RNA, 177 nt
Filed under: Sinorhizobium meliloti 2011
Lineage: Bacteria; Pseudomonadati; Pseudomonadota; Alphaproteobacteria; Hyphomicrobiales; Rhizobiaceae
Description: putative ncRNA
Source: RNAcentral
GAGUUAAACCGCCAGAUCGAGCGCCUUUUCCUUUUCGAUAUAGGUGCGCUGCAGAUCGGUGACGUAGUCGCGAACGAUCGGCGCCGCGUCUCGUGAACGCGACAGCUGCAUAUGGAAGACGAGCUGGCUGCCGGUGCGGAACAUCAUUUCCGCGCUGAUCAGGUAGAACUCCCACAU